Molecule: long non-coding RNA, 557 nt
Organism: Cuculus canorus (common cuckoo)
Lineage: Eukaryota; Metazoa; Chordata; Aves; Cuculiformes; Cuculidae
Exons: 3
Source: RefSeq, a predicted model, not a curated record
AUCUGCUUUUAGUGUUUGCUGCUGGACUCCAGAGUGCUUUUGGCAGAAGCAUUCCCAUAUUUUGUUUAAAUUUAUAUGUUCCUUUGGAACUUUGGGAUUGUGGGCAAAUGUUGAAUUCCCUGCCUUGGCCCAUGAGCUGCGGUAGCUAGAGCUCUGCCUCUAAUUUGUGCAAUAUUUAAUUAAAAGGAAUGAAGAGAGGAAAUUUUUUGCCCUCUUAAGUAAGUUUGUCUUGCACUUCCAGCAUUUUUUUUUACAGUGACUGGCCAUCUUGCAAAAAAACAGACAAGGAGACACAUAAUUGCAAUAGGAAUAAAUGAACUCUUCCUGUCUUCUCUGCCAGCUUUAUUCAUGGAAUGAAGCUGUCUCAGUAAAAUGAAUGAAAAUUCUUCCACGCAACUGGAAGUGCAGAAGUCUCAUCCACAGCCUGUUUGGAGAUGUAACCAGACAUACAAUGAAAGCAGCAUUAGUGCUGUCCAUUGAACACAAUACGUCUGGAAAUGAAACUGAGCCCAUUUCCAUCUCAGGUCUCUAGUGCUGUUAAUGGCUCUUUAAGUAAA